UACGAAGGGGGCUAGCGUUGCUCGGAAUCACUGGGCGUAAAGGGUGCGUAGGCGGGUUUUUAAGUCAGGGGUGAAAUCCUGGAGCUCAACUCCAGAACUGCCUUUGAUACUGAAGAUCUUGAGUCCGGGAGAGGUGAGUGGAACUGCGAGUGUAGAGGUGAAAUUCGUAGAUAUUCGCAAGAACGCCAGUGGCGAAGGCGGCUCACUGGCCCGGUACUGACGCUGAGGCACGAAAGCGUGGGGAGCAAACAGG
RNAcentral lists this ribosomal RNA (253 nucleotides) under uncultured bacterium. RNAcentral describes it as "partial 16S ribosomal RNA". It matches the Rfam family "Bacterial small subunit ribosomal RNA", at positions 524 to 776 of the family's 1533-position model. The record is from RNAcentral.